Molecule: small nuclear RNA, 85 nt
Filed under: Chrysemys picta bellii (western painted turtle)
Lineage: Eukaryota; Metazoa; Chordata; Testudines; Emydidae
Description: U5 spliceosomal RNA (ENSCPBG00000013951.1)
Rfam family: U5 spliceosomal RNA
About the family: U5 RNA is a component of both types of known spliceosome. The precise function of this molecule is unknown, though it is known that the 5' loop is required for splice site selection and p220 binding, and that both the 3' stem-loop and the Sm site are important for Sm protein binding and cap methylation.
Source: RNAcentral
CAGCUCUGCUUUCUCUUCAAAUUGUAUAAAUCUUUCAUCUCUUACUAAAGAUUUCGGUGGAGAGGAACAUUUAUGAGUUUCUGCG